CACGUAGGGGGCAAGCGUUGUCCGGAUUUAUUGGGCGUAAAGAGCGUGUAGGCGGCUGGGUAGGUCCGUUGUGAAAACUCGAGGCUCAACCUCGAGACGCCGAUGGAAACCCCCCAGCUAGAGUCCGGAAGAGGAGAGUGGAAUUCCUGGUGUAGCGGUGAAAUGCGCAGAUAUCAGGAAGAACAUCGGUGGCGAAGGCGCUCUGCUGGACCAUAACUGACACUCAGGGACGAAAGCUAGGGGAGCGAAUGGG
This 253-nucleotide ribosomal RNA is filed under the name uncultured bacterium. Its description in RNAcentral is "partial 16S ribosomal RNA". It matches the Rfam family "Bacterial small subunit ribosomal RNA", at positions 524 to 776 of the family's 1533-position model. The record is from RNAcentral.